RNAcentral lists this ribosomal RNA (511 nucleotides) under uncultured bacterium. Its description in RNAcentral is "partial 16S ribosomal RNA". It matches the Rfam family "Bacterial small subunit ribosomal RNA", at positions 28 to 523 of the family's 1533-position model. The record is from RNAcentral.
GAUGAACGCUAGCUACAGGCUUAACACAUGCAAGUCGAGGGGUAACGAGAGGAAAGCUUGCUUUCCUUGUCGACGACCGGCGCACGGGUGAGUAACGCGUAUCCAACCUGCCCCCAACUAGGGAAUAACCUUGCGAAAGUAAGACUAAUACCCUAUAAUUUCCUCAGAUGUCAUCUGACGAGGAAUAAAGAUUUAUCGGUUGUGGAUGGGGAUGCGUCUGAUUAGCUUGUUGGCGGGGUAACGGCCCACCAAGGCAACAAUCAGUAGGGGUUCUGAGAGGAAGGUCCCCCACAUUGGAACUGAGACACGGUCCAAACGCCUACGGGAGGCAGCAGUGGGGAAUAUUGCACAAUGGGCGCAAGCCUGGUGCAGCCAUGCCGCGUGUAUGAAGAAGGCCUUCGGGUUGUAAAGUACUUUCAGCGGGGAGGAAGGCGGUGAAGUUAAUAGCUUCACCGAUUGACGUUACCCGCAGAAGAAGCACCGGCUAACUCCGUGCCAGCCGCCACGGUAA